AUGGGUGCAUACAAGUACAUCUAGGAGCUAUGGAGGAAGAAACAACCUGAUGUAAUACAUUUUCUUCUGAGGGUCCACUGCUGGCAGCACUGCCAGCUCUCUAUGCUCCACUGGCCUCCCCACCUCACCCAGCUGGAUAAAGCACACAGAAUUGGAUACAAAGAUAAGCAAGGUUAUGUCAUAUAUAGGAUACAUGUGUGCAUAGUAGCCACAAACGCCUAGUUCCUAAGGGUGCAACCUAUGGCAAGCUUGUGCAUCAUGGUGAUAACCGGCUAAAGGUUGCUCAAAGACUUCAGUCUAUUGCUGAGGAGAAAGUUGGAUGCUACUGUGGGUCUCUAAGAGUCCUGAAUUCUUACUGGGUUGGUGAAGAUUCCACAUACAAAAUUUUUGAGGUUAUCCUCAUUGAUCCAUUCCAUAAAGCUAUCAAAAGAAAUCCUGACAUCCAGUGUAUCACCAAACCAGUCCACAAGCACAGGCAGAUAUGUGGGCUGACAUUGGCAGGCCGAAAGAGCCUUGGCCUUGGAAAGGGCCAUAAGUUUCACCACACUGUUGGUGGUUCCCACCAUACAGCUUGGAGAAGGUGCAAUACUCUCCAGUUCCACCGUUACCACUAAUAUAA
RNA transcript from Nycticebus coucang (slow loris), 619 nucleotides. It is a transcript of the gene named 60S ribosomal protein L15-like, with no coding region annotated. NCBI's taxonomy places the organism in Eukaryota, Metazoa, Chordata, Mammalia, Primates, Lorisidae. The record is from RefSeq and is a predicted model, not a curated record. The transcript has a single exon.